RNAcentral lists this ribosomal RNA (269 nucleotides) under uncultured bacterium. RNAcentral describes it as "partial 16S ribosomal RNA". It matches the Rfam family "Bacterial small subunit ribosomal RNA", at positions 524 to 776 of the family's 1533-position model. The record is from RNAcentral.
UACGAAGGGGGCUAGCGUUGCUCGGAAUCACUGGGCGUAAAGGGUGCGUAGGCGGGUCUUUUUUUUUUUUUUUUUUAAGCAGGGGUAAAUCCGUGGAAGCUCAACUCCAGAACUGCCUUUGAUACUGAGGAUCUUUGAGUUCGGGAGAGGUGAGUGGAACUGCGAGUGUAGAGGUGAAAUUCGUAGAUAUUCGCAAGAACACCAGUGGCGAAGGCGGCUCACUGGCCCGAUACUGACGCUGAGACACGAAAGCGUGGGGAGCAAACAGG